AUCUGUUUCUUCAUCUCUUCCAUCUCAACACGACUCAUGCAGUAAGGGGUAACCGAGAUAGGCUGGGUGCCAAGCUAAAGAUUUAUACUGAACUCAAAUUCUCUAUCUACUGGCAGUGCAUGUGAAGCACUCAUAUCAAUCAAAACAUAUGCAAGGUAAUUACAGAUAGUGUAUGUACCUUGUAUCACGUCCGGGUUAGCUUCAACAUCCUAUUGAGUGAGGUUAUAAGCUCUGCCCUAGAUAGGAGGUCUGGUCUGCUUCUGAUUUUGUGGAAACUCUCUCGCGUAGUGUUGGGCACUCCCACAUAUACUGCAAGUAUCGUUGAGACGAUAGUAGGGUCGGUCUCCAUGAUCUUUGCCACAGUGCUGGCAAGUCUUACCACACUCUAUUGCAAGAGCCUGAGUCAUUGGCCUAGACCUCUUGUUCUGCGGAAUCGGUGCAGUGGAUG
Molecule: long non-coding RNA, 448 nt
Filed under: Carica papaya (papaya)
Lineage: Eukaryota; Viridiplantae; Streptophyta; Magnoliopsida; Brassicales; Caricaceae
Description: long non-coding RNA (CPAP_LNC002539)
Source: RNAcentral